GAUUAAGCUAGAAAGAGCUUAUGGUGGAUGCCUUGGCAUUCAGAGUUGAAGAAGGACGCGACCGGCUGCGAAAAGCCGUGGGGAGCUGCUAAAUAAGCGUAGAUCCGCGGAUAUCCGAAUGGGGCAACCCACCAGUGUGGAGCACUGGUAUUAUGUGGUGAAAUAAGUAGCCAUGUAAGAACAAGCAGGAGAACUGAAACAUCUUAGUACCCUGAGGAAAAGAAAUCAAAAUGAGAUUCCCUUAGUAGCGGCGAGCGAAAGGGGAAGAGUCCAAACACUUAAAGUGUAAGUCUGUAGACGUUGCUUUAAGUGGGUGUAGGAUAGACUGUCUAAAAACUACAGUUUUUGGCUGACUUAAAUUUUUUACCGAGUCGAAUGAACUGGGAAGUUCAACCGUAGGAGGUAAUAGUCCUGUAGACGUAAGGUAAAAGAAGUCAGAGAAUUAUCCAGAGUAUCACGAGACACGAGAAACCUUGUGAGAAUAUGGGAGGACCACCUUCCAAGACUAAAUACUCCUGAAUGACCGAUAGUGAACAAGUACCGUGAGGGAAAGGUGAAAAGAACCCCGGAAGGGGAGUGAAAUAGAAACUGAAACCAUAAGCUUACAACAAGUAGGAGGGCUAUUUAAAAGCCUGACUGCGUACUUUUUGUAUCACGGACCGGCGAGUUACUAAUCGUAGCGAAAGGUUAAGUCAUAGAGAUGAAGCCAGAGCGAAAGCGAGUCUGAUAAGGGCGGAAGUUAUGAUUAGUAGACCCGAAACCGAGUGAUCUAUCCAUGACCAGGGUGAAGCGAGUGUAAGAGCUUGUGGAGGCCCGAACC
Non-coding RNA from Halanaerobium saccharolyticum subsp. saccharolyticum DSM 6643, 820 nucleotides. The record is from Rfam. Lineage: Bacteria; Bacillati; Bacillota; Clostridia; Halanaerobiales; Halanaerobiaceae.